AUUGAACGCUGGCGGCAGGCCUAACACAUGCAAGUCGAGCGGAAGAAGGGAGCUUGCUCCUGGAUUCAGCGGCGGACGGGUGAGUAAUGCCUAGGAAUCUGCCUGGAAGUGGGGGAUAACGUCCGGAAACGGGCGCUAAUACCGCAUACGUCCUGAGGGAGAAAGUGGGGGAUCUUCGGACCUCACGCUAUCAGAUGAGCCUAGGUCGGAUUAGCUAGUUGGUGGGGUAAAGGCCUACCAAGGCGACGAUCCGUAACUGGUCUGAGAGGAUGAUCAGUCACACUGGAACUGAGACACGGUCCAGACUCCUACGGGAGGCAGCAGUGGGGAAUAUUGGACAAUGGGCGAAAGCCUGAUCCAGCCAUGCCGCGUGUGUGAAGAAGGUCUUCGAAUUGUAAAGCACUUUAAGUUGGGAGGAAGGGCAGUAAGUUAAUACCUUGCUGUUUUGACGUUACCAACAGAAUAAGCACCGGCUAACUUCGUG
This 484-nucleotide ribosomal RNA is filed under the name uncultured bacterium. Its description in RNAcentral is "partial 16S ribosomal RNA". It matches the Rfam family "Bacterial small subunit ribosomal RNA", at positions 30 to 507 of the family's 1533-position model. The record is from RNAcentral.